ACCCGCUGAACUUAAGCAUAUCAAUAAGCGGAGGAAAAGAAACCAACAGGGAUUGCCCUAGUAACGGCGAGUGAAGCGGCAACAGCUCAAAUUUGAAAUCUGGCGUCUUUGGCGUCCGAGUUGUAAUUUGCAGAGGGCGCUUUGGCAUUGGCAGCGGUCCAAGUUCCUUGGAACAGGACGUCACAGAGGGUGAGAAUCCCGUACGUGGUCGCUAGCCUUUACCGUGUAAAGCCCCUUCGACGAGUCGAGUUGUUUGGGAAUGCAGCUCUAAAUGGGAGGUAAAUUUCUUCUAAAGCUAAAUACUGGCCAGAGACCGAUAGCGCACAAGUAGAGUGAUCGAAAGAUGAAAAGCACUUUGGAAAGAGAGUUAAAAAGCACGUGAAAUUGUUGAAAGGGAAGCGCUUGCAGCCAGACUUGCCUGUAGUUGCUCAUCCGGGUUUUUACCCGGUGCACUCUUCUAUAGGCAGGCCAGCAUCAGUUUGGGCGGUUGGAUAAAGGUCUCUGUCAUGUACCUCUCUUCGGGGAGAACUUAUAGGGGAGACGACAUGCAACCAGCCCGGACUGAGGUCCGCGCAUCUGCAAGGAUGCUGGCGUAAUGGCUGU
RNAcentral lists this ribosomal RNA (603 nucleotides) under uncultured fungus. Its description in RNAcentral is "eukaryotic LSU rRNA". It matches the Rfam family "Eukaryotic large subunit ribosomal RNA", at positions 23 to 641 of the family's 3401-position model. The record is from RNAcentral. Lineage: Eukaryota; Fungi.